CUACGGGUUGCUCCAGUCGAGAAUCUUUCGCAAUGGGCGAAAGCCUGACGAAGCGACGCCGUGUGAACGAAGAAGGCCUUCGGGUUGUAAAGUUCUUUCGCUUAGGAGCAAGAGAAGGAAAUUAAUACUUUCCUGAUUUGAGAGUACUAGGUAAGGAAGCACCGGCUAACUCCGUGCCAGCAGCUGCGGUAAUACGGAGGGUGCAAGCAUUAAUCGGAUUUAUUGGGCGUAAAGGGCGUCUAGGCGGAGUCGUAAGUUAGACGUGAAAUCCCGGGGCUCAACCUCGGAACUGCGUUUGAAACUGCGACCCUAGAGGAUAGGCGGAGAAAACGGAAUUCUACAUGUAGCGGUGAAAUGCGUAGAUAUGUAGAAGAACACCCGUGGCGAAGGCGGUUUUCUAGCUUAUUCCUGACGCUGAAGCGCGAAAGCAAGGGUAGCGAACAGGAUUAGAUACCCCUGUAGUC
Molecule: ribosomal RNA, 464 nt
Filed under: uncultured bacterium
Lineage: Bacteria
Description: partial 16S ribosomal RNA
Rfam family: Bacterial small subunit ribosomal RNA
Source: RNAcentral